This is a long non-coding RNA of Neocloeon triangulifer, 823 nucleotides long. RefSeq lists it as uncharacterized. Lineage: Eukaryota; Metazoa; Arthropoda; Insecta; Ephemeroptera; Baetidae. The transcript is spliced from 6 exons. The record is from RefSeq and is a predicted model, not a curated record.
GAAACGACGAAGAUUGAGUAGAGUGAAUUUAACUAUUGAUAAUGAGAUAAUGGCGCGACGAAAAAGAAAGCCCUCGUCGGCCGGGUCAUCAUCAUUAAAAACAAUAAGAUUCAAUAUGAAUGGACCGGCCCAAUUGGGGUACUUUGAAAAAACCAAAAUGCGGAUGAUGCGUGCGUUUUGGUUGUCACUUACGACUUUAAAGAUUCCGAAAAGAGGCGACACGGCAAUGAAAAGGACCUUGAAAACUUAAAAAAAUCGUUCGAGGAGAAAAGGAAAUGUCGAUACCAAGAACUGGCGUCGCCCGAAGCUGAGGUUUUCCUUGAAAUAUUAAAAAACGAGAAAAAACUCCUCCAGCUUUUCAAAAUUUCAGCUGUUCCCUCUGCAUUUCUUCUCAUCAUCUUGGCGCACGGAAAAGAAAACAAUAUUAUAGAGACAGACCACAAGGACCAGAACGGAGAAUACAAAUACUUUCUGACCACUGACGUGCUGGAGGCAAUAAAAAAAUCGCCAAACCUGCGAGAACAACUCAAUGUCAUUUUCUUUGGACCUUGCCGGGGAAAACUCAAGGACGUGGCUCAUCAAGAAAUGGAAAAUCCUAAAAUUUACGAAAACCAAACCUCAAACAGGUUGACAAACAUGCCCUGCGCUGAGAAUUUCGUCAUCGUUUAUUCAACAGUCGAAACGACUUUGUCAAACAGAGACACAAGCGAAGGCACGUGGUUGGUGCAGGGAAUUUGCACUUUGUUGGACAAUCUUCAAAAAGACGAGCCGUUGGAGGUUUAUCUCACCAAAUUGCAACAUUGGAUCCAUGAAAGGUUAGACG